Long non-coding RNA from Bos taurus (domestic cattle), 1425 nucleotides. The record is from Ensembl. NCBI's taxonomy places the organism in Eukaryota, Metazoa, Chordata, Mammalia, Artiodactyla, Bovidae.
GUGUGUGGUUCUUCUCAGGGUAGGUGCUCUACAAAUUCCUGUUGAAUGAGUCCAGUUACUCUGCCGGAUACGGCUUGAAUGAGCUCCCAGGAGCAGCUGGCCACACAUCCUUUAAUAAUGUCUUCCUGCUGACAGCUGCAAGAUGUGUUAGCAUACUGGCUAGAUGAUGGAGGAGGAGAAAGGCCAAACCUGAGUAAGCAUCUAGGAAUGUAGCACUCAAAGUUUAGCAAAGCACUGCGUAUGACUGCAAGACUGAAUGUCAGCUACUGCCCACUUUGUUCUGUUAAGAUGUACCCAGUAAAGAACAAAAGCGGGCCUUCCCUGCUGGUCCAGCGGCUAAGAAUUCUGCCAACGCAUUGCAUGCGGGUUCAGUCCCUGGCCCGAGAACAUCCCAUGUGUCACAAGACAACUCAGUCUGUGUGCCACAACUACCGAGCCCAUGUGCCCUAGAGGCCCGUGCUCCUCGACAAGAGGAGCCACCGCAGUGAGAAGCCUGUGAAUCGCAACUAGAGUAGCCCCUGCUCGCCACAACUAGAGAAAGCCUGAGUGCAGCAACAAUGACCCAGUACAGCCAUUUGCACGAGACCCCUGAAGGCAGGAAACCCAAGCUUACAGCAAGCAGAAACCAGAGAGGGACCCCUGGGCAUUUAACUGGCCUAAAGUUAGAAUUUAGUCUUCAACAUUGGUUUAGCCGAGAUUUCAGAACUUAUGGGCGUUGUGUCUUUAUCUGAUUUCUCUUAAGAGCUUUGUUGACUGCUACAACAAAAGAAGGGCUUGUUAUGAGUGAUUUCCCAGAAGACCCUACAGAGACGUGUUUUUUUUUUUCCAGUAAUGAAGAAGCACUUAUUAGCUGCACAGGUGUAUGCUGUCUUAUUGAAUUUUGUGACCGUGGAAGGCUCAGAGAACAAGAACUUGCUCAAGGGUACACAACCAUCAUCCAGGCCAGGAACUAUCUCCUGGACCAAAUACCGUGUCCUUUCCACAGGUCCCUAAGGCAGCACAUGAUUUCCCAUCAUUCUGGGGGACACUGAAAAGUAGAAGUUGGUGAUGGACAGGGGAGCCUGGCGUGCUGCAGUCCAUGGGGUCACAAAGACACCACUGAGUGGCUGAACUGACUGAAGAGCAGAAUAGUAAUUUUAUAAUCUAUAUGUGGUCAGCAGUGCAAGAGCCCCAGCGCUGCUCCCAGAAGGUGACCAGCUGUUUCUGUCCAACCAUCGCUGAGUCCAGAUGCUCCAAACCUCCGAGCACAAGCCCUGCAGUGAAUGUUUUCCAAUUGAAAUUUCUUUGUUCAAGAACAUCCAGGCAGAGCAGUAUUUUAUGGAGGUUGGACUUUGGCUAUUUUGAGCCAUGCUUUAUUAAAACACAAUUCAUCUGAGGCAUUUGUGCUGUGUUCUCAAUCAGUCAUGUGACCCUUCAUUCAUUAUA